AUCGCUUCUCGGCCUUUUGGCUAAGAUCAAGUGUAGUAUCUGUUGCAUCUUGUAUCUUAGUCGCCGGGAGUAAAGUUGAAAGUUCC
This is a non-coding RNA of Paramuricea clavata, 86 nucleotides long. The record is from the annotation of a GenBank genome assembly. Lineage: Eukaryota; Metazoa; Cnidaria; Anthozoa; Malacalcyonacea; Plexauridae.